UACACUCCUACGGGAGGCAGCAGUGGGGAAUUUUGGACAAUGGGCGAAAGCCUGAUCCAGCAAUGCCGCGUGUGUGAAGAAGGCCUUCGGGUUGUAAAGCACUUUUGUCCGGAAAGAAAUCCUUGGCUCUAAUACAGUCGGGGGAUGACGGUACCGGAAGAAUAAGCACCGGCUAACUACGUGCCAGCAGCCGCGGUAAUACGUAGGGUGCGAGCGUUAAUCGGAAUUACUGGGCGUAAAGCGUGCGCAGGCGGUUUGCUAAGACCGAUGUGAAAUCCCCGGGCUCAACCUGGGAACUGCAUUGGUGACUGGCAGGCUAGAGUAUGGCAGAGGGGGGUAGAAUUCCACGUGUAGCAGUGAAAUGCGUAGAGAUGUGGAGGAAUACCGAUGGCGAAGGCAGCCCCCUGGGCCAAUACUGACGCUCAUGCACGAAAGCGUGGGGAGCAAACAGGAUUAGAAACCCUAGUAGUCCCAUG
Molecule: ribosomal RNA, 476 nt
Filed under: uncultured organism
Description: partial 16S ribosomal RNA
Rfam family: Bacterial small subunit ribosomal RNA
Source: RNAcentral